CCUACGGGUGGCAGCAGUGGGGAAUAUUGCACAAUGGGGGAAACCCUGAUGCAGCGACGCCGCGUGAGUGAAGAAGUACUUCGUAAUGUAAAGCUCUAUCAGCAGGGAAGAAAAUGACGGUACCUGAGUAAUAAGCACCGGCUAACUACGUGCCAGCAGCCGCGGUAAUACGGAGGGGGCCAGCGUUAUCCGGCUUUACUGGGGUGAAAGGGAGCUUAGACGGCAGUGCAAGUCUGGAGUGAAAGGCGGGGGCUCAACCCCCGGACUGCUCUGGAAACUGUACGGCUGGAGUGCAGGAGAGGUAAGUGGAAUGCCUAGUGUAGCGGUGAAAUGCGUAGAUAUUAGGCGGAACACCAGUGGCGAAGGCAGCUUACUGGACUGUGACUGACGUUGAGGCUCGAAAGCGUGGGGAGCAAACAGGAUUAGAUACCCUAGUAGUC
This 440-nucleotide ribosomal RNA is filed under the name uncultured bacterium. Its description in RNAcentral is "partial 16S ribosomal RNA". It matches the Rfam family "Bacterial small subunit ribosomal RNA", at positions 338 to 795 of the family's 1533-position model. The record is from RNAcentral.